Molecule: long non-coding RNA, 1040 nt
Filed under: Zostera marina
Lineage: Eukaryota; Viridiplantae; Streptophyta; Magnoliopsida; Alismatales; Zosteraceae
Description: long non-coding RNA (ZMAR_LNC000987)
Source: RNAcentral
GGAUUCCACCUGGACCGUCUCAGACCUGACUGUUCAGGUUGGGGUCUAGGAAGUUAGAGAAGAAGAAAAACGGACACAGUGCGGAGCGGGGAGGAGGUGGUCGUAAUGGUGAUCAAGUUAGCACCAGGAGGAGGUAUGGUCGUAUGGAUGAGGAGAGGUGGGGAAGAGGCAGAAGAGAGCAAGAGUCACAAUCCAAAGUUAACAUUGCACCGGGUGGGAAUUGUUAAAUAGGAUAUUAGUUAUAGAUUAGUUAGAAUAAUUGGAGUCCUAUAUAAACAAGUUGUAGUUAAUCAAUGGAUGAAGUUUCAUUUUCUCCCAAAUUAGUUUUGCUUUCACAGAUCUUUAGAUUCCAAGAUGGUUUCAGAUGAUGAUUCUCUUCUGUGAAGUGAAACAACAAUUUUCCGACGAUUUCUGUGAAGAACGACGUGUCCAGAUUGCAACUUCUUUUCAGACGCGCUUCCUCCAGAUCGCCGCGAGUUUUCUAUUUUUUUUUUGCGAGUUAGACGUGUUUCAGUCGCUGCAGUUCUAGAUCGUUCCAGAUCUCCGAUCAUUCCAGUCACUGCAGUUCGCUCCAGAUUGUUGCGAUCUUCAAUUUCUUUCAGAUUGUAACUUCUCUUAAUAGAUUAGGAAACAUUAUCAUCUCAGAAGAUAGAUUUUCCAUAAACCAACAAACCGAGAGAACAAAUUCUGAAACGUCGCAAAUACCACAAAAUUUGACGUCAGAAAUACCUCAAAUUCUUACUCAAGAAUUCAACCAUCACACAACUGAAUUCAGAAAAAAUCAAAGAGUUAGAAAUUUUUCAAGUAAGCUAAACAUUUAUGAAGUAGAUCUACCUAAAACACUCAUAGCAGAAACAUUAAACACCAAAGAAGUAGUUCUCAAAAAUUACAAAGAAGCACUAUUAAUAGCUUAUUGGAAACAAGCUAUGGAUGAUAAAUAUAAAGCAUUAAUCGAUAACAACACUUGGGACUUAGUCAAACCAAACACAAUAAAAAAUACGAACAUAAUUGACACAAUGGAUUUUCAAAAUAAAAAAAAG